This 422-nucleotide ribosomal RNA is filed under the name uncultured bacterium. RNAcentral describes it as "bacterial SSU rRNA". It matches the Rfam family "Bacterial small subunit ribosomal RNA", at positions 355 to 774 of the family's 1533-position model. The record is from RNAcentral.
UGAGGAAUAUUGGGCAAUGCCCGCAAGGGUGACCCAGCAACGCCGCGUGGAGGAUGAAUGUCGUAAGAUUGUAAACUCCUGAUAGAGGGGAAGAAUAGUACCGGUUGGACCGGUAUAUGACUGUACCCUCAGAGAAAGCCCCGGCUAACUACGUGCCAGCAGCCGCGGUAAUACGUAGGGGGCAAGCGUUGUCCGGAUUUACUGGGUGUAAAGGGCGCGCAGGCGGGAUAAAAAGUCAGUGGUGAAAUCCUACAGCUUAACUGUAGAACUGCCUUUGAUACUUUUAUUCUUGAGUUCGGGAGAGAGAGACGGAAUUCCAGGUGUAGUGGUGAAAUACGUAGAUAUCUGGAAGAACACCAGUUGCGAAGGCGGUCUCUUGGUCCGACACUGACGCUGAGGCGCGAAAGCGUGGGGAGCAAACA